GACGAGGGAUCCUAGCGUUGCUCGGAAUUAUUGGGCGUAAAGCGGGUGUAGGUGGCUUGGUAAGUCAGAUGUGAAAGCCCUGGGCUUAACCCAGGAAGUGCAUUGAUACUGCUAAGCUUGAGUGCGAGAGAGGUUAAUAGAAUACCUGGUGUAGUGGUGAAAUACGUAGAUAUCAGGUGGAACACCGGAGGCGAAGGCGGUUAACUGGCGUCGACACUGACACUGAGACCCGAAAGUGCGGGGAUCAAACAGG
This 253-nucleotide ribosomal RNA is filed under the name uncultured bacterium. RNAcentral describes it as "partial 16S ribosomal RNA". It matches the Rfam family "Bacterial small subunit ribosomal RNA", at positions 524 to 776 of the family's 1533-position model. The record is from RNAcentral.